CAUCUUACUGGGCAGCAUUGGAUGGAGUCAGGUCUCUAAUACUGCCUGGUAAUGAUGAC
This 59-nucleotide microRNA precursor is filed under the name Callithrix jacchus (white-tufted-ear marmoset). RNAcentral describes it as "Cja-Mir-8-P1a_pre stem-loop". It matches the Rfam family "mir-8/mir-141/mir-200 microRNA precursor family", at positions 6 to 67 of the family's 72-position model. From Rfam's summary of the family: The bounds of the precursors are predicted based on conservation and base pairing and are not generally known. The record is from RNAcentral. RNAcentral also lists the same sequence under 3 other names. Lineage: Eukaryota; Metazoa; Chordata; Mammalia; Primates; Cebidae.